RNAcentral lists this ribosomal RNA (292 nucleotides) under uncultured bacterium. RNAcentral's name for it is "partial 16S ribosomal RNA". It matches the Rfam family "Bacterial small subunit ribosomal RNA", at positions 505 to 796 of the family's 1533-position model. The record is from RNAcentral.
GUGUCAGCCGCCGCGGUAAUACGAAGGGGGCUAGCGUUGUUCGGAAUUACUGGGCGUAAAGCGCACGUAGGCGGACAUUUAAGUCAGGGGUGAAAUCCCAGAGCUCAACUCUGGAACUGCCUUUGAUACUGGGUGUCUGGAGUCCGGAAGAGGUGAGUGGAAUUCCGAGUGUAGAGGUGAAAUUCGUAGAUAUUCGGAGGAACACCAGUGGCGAAGGCGGCUCACUGGUCCGGUACUGACGCUGAGGUGCGAAAGCGUGGGGAGCAAACAGGAUUAGAUACCCCCGUAGUCC